CCUACGGGAGGCAGCAGUAGGGAAUCUUCCACAAUGGACGAAAGCCUGAUGGAGCAACGCCGCGUGAGUGAAGAAGGGUUUCGGCUCGUAAAGCUCUGUUGGUAGUGAAGAAAGAUAGAGGUAGUAACUGGCCUGUGUUCGACGGUAAUUACUUAGAAAGUCACGGCUAACUACGUGCCAGCAGCCGCGGUAAUACGUAGGUGGCAAUCGUUGUCCGGAUUUAUUGGGCGUAAAGCGAGUGCAGGCGGUCCAAUAAGUCUGAUGUGAAAGCCUUCGGCUCAACCGGAGUAUUGCAUCAGAAACUGUUGAACUUGAGUGCAGAAGAGGAGAGUGGAACUCCAUGUGUAGCGGUGGAAUGCGUAGAUAUAUGGAAGAACACCAGUGGCGAAGGCGGCUCUCUGGUCUGCAACUGACGCUGAGGCUCGAAAGCGUGGGUAGCGAACAGGAUUAGAUACCCUAGUAGUC
Molecule: ribosomal RNA, 465 nt
Filed under: uncultured bacterium
Lineage: Bacteria
Description: partial 16S ribosomal RNA
Rfam family: Bacterial small subunit ribosomal RNA
Source: RNAcentral